This 435-nucleotide ribosomal RNA is filed under the name uncultured bacterium. RNAcentral describes it as "partial 16S ribosomal RNA". It matches the Rfam family "Bacterial small subunit ribosomal RNA", at positions 29 to 507 of the family's 1533-position model. The record is from RNAcentral.
AACGAACGCUGGCGGCAGGCUUAACACAUGCAAGUCGAACGCAUGCCUUCGGGCAUGAGUGGCAGACGGGUGAGUAACGCGUGGGAACCUACCCCUUGGUACGGGAUAGCUCCGGGAAACUGGAGAUAAUACCGUAUGUGUCCUGAGGGACAAAGAUUCAUCGCCAAGGGAUGGGCCCGCGUCGGAUUAGCUAGGUGGUGGGGUAACGGCCUACCAAGGCGACGAUCCGUAGCUGGUCUAAGAGGAUGAUCCGCCACAUUGGGACUGAGACACGGCCCAAACUCCUACGGGAGGCAGCAGUGGGGAAUAUUGGACAAUGGGCGCAAGCCUGAUCCAGCCAUGCCGCGUGAGUGAUGAAGGCCCUAGGGUUGUAAAGCUCUUUCACCGGUGACGAUAAUGACGGUAACCGGAGAAGAAGCCCCGGCUAACUUCGUG